UACGUAGGGCGCAAGCGUUGUCCGGAUUUAUUGGGCGUAAAGAGCGUGUAGGCGGCCAGGUAGGUCUGCUGUGAAAACUCGAGGCUUAACCUCGAGCUGUCGGCGGAAACCAUCUGGCUAGAGUCCGGAAGAGGAGAAUGGAAUUCCCGGUGUAGCGGUGAAAUGCGCAGAUAUCGGGAAGAACACCCGUGGCGAAGGCGGCGACCUGGGCCAAGAUUGACGCUGAGGUGCGAAAGCGUGGGGAGCAAACAGG
Molecule: ribosomal RNA, 253 nt
Filed under: uncultured bacterium
Lineage: Bacteria
Description: partial 16S ribosomal RNA
Rfam family: Bacterial small subunit ribosomal RNA
Source: RNAcentral